Long non-coding RNA from Papaver somniferum (opium poppy), 1922 nucleotides. RefSeq lists it as uncharacterized. Lineage: Eukaryota; Viridiplantae; Streptophyta; Magnoliopsida; Ranunculales; Papaveraceae. The transcript has 3 exons. The record is from RefSeq and is a predicted model, not a curated record.
AAUCUCUUUUAUUUUCUUCUCCAUUCUUCUAUUCUCUUCUUUUUCUCUUUCUCAUCUGUUCUACAUUCUUUUUCCUCCUGUCGUCUCCAAAAUCGAACAUGAGCUUGGUGUUUGUGAGUUGAGUAGCUAAAUUUCUAUAACAUGAUGAUCUGAGUGAGCUGGUGAUGGUGUUGGGUUGAUUUAGUCUGAAGAGAAGAAGAAAUUGAUGUUUUCUGUUAGUGAAGUUAGGGGUUCCAUAAAGAUUUGUUCUGAGAAGAUGUUGAGGAUGAAAUUGAAGGUUUAGGAGAAAGAUUGGAGAUGGGUUUGUAGUGAAUUAAGUUUAGGUCUAAGAAUUAAGUGAGAUUAUGAGUUAGGGAUUGAGAUUUGGUAAACUGAAGUUGUUUUGAAAUUACAGAUUGAUGGAUUCUAGAUGAUGAAGAGCUAAACUUAUCCGAGUUGCAGUUCGAAUAAUUUAACCGGAUAAUUAGAUGAGUUUGUUCAAUUGAGGUUUAGAAUUGGGUGGUUAGUGGAUUCGAUUUUCAUGAAUUAUGGUUUCUGAGUUUUGAUAUUGAUUGAAGAUGAAUGACAAAUUGAAGAUGAAAUCAAGUAAUUAAUAGGGGUUUCUGUAUAAUUGAUGAUGUGUAACUGUUUUUGAUGAAGAAUCAGUAAGUUAAGGCUUCAUGUUCUUCUCAAUUGAGAACUAGAGAUUCACAUGAAAGCUUAGGGAAGAAUUAGAAGUUUGAAUAGAAGGAUUCGAGAUGGGUUUUGAAGAUUUGGGAGUAUUAGAAUGGAAUUGCUUGUGAAAUCAAAGUCUCAAAUGAUGAAACUGGUGUUGGUGAUGUACUUCAAGUCUGGAACGAUAAUUCUAGGGUUCAAUUGAAGUAAGUGAAGUUAUCUUGAGGUAAUACAUUUCUCUGAAAAUUGAGUAAAGUUAUUAUUGUUUUUGUUGAGUUUGAGAAAUUGUUAAUGAGCAAAGAUUGAAAUUGAGAUGAAUGUGUGUGUUGGAAUGGACCCGAGGCUUUGAGAAUGACUGGUGGUGUUACUUUAACUGUGUUUGUGUUGCUGGUAAUGUGAUUGAGUUAUGAAAGUAGGAUAACUGUGUUCGAUAGGAAUUUGGUGUUGAUUGAAGUUGUGUGAUUGUUAAUGGACUCACAGUUGAGUUAGAUGAACGGGGUAUGUGAUGGAGAUGAAAUUGUUUAUCAGUGAUGAUGUAUUGAGAUGCAACUGAAGUUAACUGGUGUUGCAGGGAAUUAUUAUAAGUUGAGAUUAGUGAUUGUGUUUGAAUGGCUAUAAAUGAAUGUAUUGGUGCAGAGUUGCUUUAGUUAAGUUUCAAUUGCAGUUAGUUUUACAGGUUGAGAUUCAGUUUGUUUGUGCCAUGGGGUUGGUGUUGGAAAUUAAUGAGAUGGUGGUGAUGUUGGUGUUGUCUGUGUAGAUGAGUCUGCAGUUAGAGAUGUUGCUGGUACUGAGAUGAAUUUAGUAUUUAAGAAGUAUUAGGUGAUGGAACUGGGAUGUUAUUACAGUUCAUGAGAAUGUGUUAAUGUUAUGAGAGUUGUGGUUGAGCUGAGGGAUAAGGGAAUUGUGAAAUUGUAUGAUGUUGUAGAAUGAAGAGAGGUUAGAUGGUUGAUUAUAGAGUUAUAGAUAGUGUUCCUGUGAAAGCUUGGAACUGCAAUUGCAGUUAGUUAUUAACAACGAUCGAUUCAAAGGACGAACCAGUGGGUCGUGGAUCUCGAUGUAGGCGUGGUUUGUCAUCAAAAGAGUUUCAGAGACAGAUCAGAGUUGCGCAGCGAAUGCUUCAGGGGUUGAGGUCGCUAGUUGAUUAACUUCGAUUAUGUUUAUUAUGUUGUAUAUUUUAUUUGUAAACCAGAUGAAUAUUGUUAUGUAUCAUUUGAGAGGAGUUCUUGUAUAUAUAUUUCUGAACGGGGCUAGUUUUGGGUUAAGUUUUG